RNAcentral lists this ribosomal RNA (1052 nucleotides) under uncultured organism. RNAcentral describes it as "bacterial SSU rRNA". It matches the Rfam family "Bacterial small subunit ribosomal RNA", at positions 253 to 1336 of the family's 1533-position model. The record is from RNAcentral.
UAGGGUAACGGCCUACCAAGGCAAAGACGGGUAGGGGGUGUGAGAGCAUGACCCCCCACAAUGGGACUGAGACACGGCCCAUACUCCUACGGGAGGCAGCAGCAGGGAAUAUUGCACAAUGGACGGAAGUCUGAUGCAGCGACGCCGCGUGGAUGAUGAAGGCCCUCGGGUCGUAAAAUCCUUUUCAGGGGGAAGAGGAAGGACGGUACCCCUGGAAUAAGCGUCGGCUAACUACGUGCCAGCAGCCGCGGUAAGACGUAGGACGCAAGCGUUAUCCGGAUUUACUGGGCGUAAAGCGUCUGUAGGCGGUUGGGUAAGUUGGGCGUGAAAGCUCCGUGCUCAACGCGGAGAGGUCGUUCAAUACUGCCGAACUAGAGGACAUCAGAGGAGCAUGGAAUUUCCGGUGUAGCGGUAAAAUGCGCAGAUAUCGGAAGGAACACCAGUGGCGAAGGCGGUGCUCUGGGGUGUGCCUGACGCUGAGAGACGAAAGCUAGGGGAGCGAACAGGAUUAGAGGCCCUGGUAGUCCUAGCCCUAAACGAUGGAUGCUAGAUGUGGGGCCGAGAAGGCUCCGUGUCGCAGUUAACGCGGUAAGCAUCCCGCCUGGGGAUUACGGCCGCAAGGCUUAAACUCAAACGAAUUGACGGGGCCCCGCACAAGUAGCGGAGCGUGUGGUUUAAUUCGAUGCUACACGAAGAACCUUACCUGGGUUUGACAUGUAAGUGGUAGUGAAGCGAAAGCGGAGCGACCCUUCGGGGAGCUUACACAGGUGCUGCAUGGCUGUCGUCAGCUCGUGCCGUGAGGUGUCGGGUUAAGUCCCGUAACGAGCGCAACCCUUGCCCUUAGUUACAAGUGUCUAAGGGGACUGCCGGCGGUAAGCCGGAGGAAGGUGGGGAUGACGUCAAGUCAGCAUGGCCCUUAUAUCCAGGGCUACACACACGCUACAAUGGUCAGUACAAAGGGCAGCGAAGCCGCGAGGUGAAGCGAAUCCCACCAAAGCUGAUCUAAGUUCGGAUUGCAGGCUGCAACUCGCCUGCAUGAAGCUGGAGUUGCU